Long non-coding RNA from Meriones unguiculatus (Mongolian gerbil), 578 nucleotides. RefSeq lists it as uncharacterized. The record is from RefSeq and is a predicted model, not a curated record. The transcript is spliced from 3 exons. NCBI's taxonomy places the organism in Eukaryota, Metazoa, Chordata, Mammalia, Rodentia, Muridae.
GUGGAGUUGUUGUCCCACGAGAAGAGGUUGUGGAAGGGGGCGGUGUCACCCAUGAUAUAAGGGUCGUAUCCCACUCCUUGGAAGCGGAUGACAGCUGAAUUCCACCCAAUGAUGUGUAUCGAACACUGGUCUGGACCUCGUACGUCACAGGAACGGAGCCGCCGUUAUACAGCUCGUAAAUCUGCAAGGGCAGAGAUGGGGAGACAGCCAGCCAGCUUGAGACUGUAGAACAGUGGAUGGUUCACACAGAAGCUCUCAGCCGAUCAGAGAGCAGAAAAGAAGUGUCUGUGUACUGCUCAGCUACAAGUGGGACAUAAGUAUCGUAACCCCCUUCAAGGCUCGGGGCCUGUUGCAGAAGAGGGGAAGGAAGACUGUAAGAGCCAGAAGAUGGGCAGGACCGGGGCCAGAGUAAAACAGUAUUUUUUUGGACAUGACAAGAUGGCCGCACUCAUGGACUCCCAGCACCUGUGGCUACCUGCACAAGACUCACUCAGUUAACACUGUUGUGAAGGGGAGGAGGGGUUUGUAGAGCCCCACCCCCACCGGACUGAGGAGGUACCGAUGAUUGACCGAGCUCC